RNAcentral lists this ribosomal RNA (528 nucleotides) under uncultured bacterium. RNAcentral's name for it is "bacterial SSU rRNA". It matches the Rfam family "Bacterial small subunit ribosomal RNA", at positions 26 to 536 of the family's 1533-position model. The record is from RNAcentral.
AGGAUGAACGCUGGCGGCGUGCCUAAUACAUGCAAGUCGAGCGAACAGAUAAGGAGCUUGCUCCUUUGAAGUUAGCGGCGGACGGGUGAGUAACACGUGGGUAACCUACCUAUAAGACUGGGAUAACUUCGGGAAACCGGAGCUAAUACCGGAUAACAUUUAGAACCGCAUGGUUCUAAAGUGAAAGAUGGUUUUGCUAUCACUUAUAGAUGGACCCGCGCCGUAUUAGCUAGUUGGUAAGGUAACGGCUUACCAAGGCGACGAUACGUAGCCGACCUGAGAGGGUGAUCGGCCACACUGGAACUGAGACACGGUCCAGACUCCUACGGGAGGCAGCAGUAGGGAAUCUUCCGCAAUGGGCGAAAGCCUGACGGAGCAACGCCGCGUGAGUGAUGAAGGGUUUCGGCUCGUAAAACUCUGUUAUUAGGGAAGAACAAAUGUGUAAGUAACUGUGCGCAUCUUGACGGUACCUAAUCAGAAAGCCACGGCUAACUACGUGCCAGCAGCCGCGGUAAUACGUAGGUGGCA